Long non-coding RNA from Diceros bicornis minor, 1559 nucleotides. RefSeq lists it as uncharacterized. The transcript has 4 exons. The record is from RefSeq and is a predicted model, not a curated record. Lineage: Eukaryota; Metazoa; Chordata; Mammalia; Perissodactyla; Rhinocerotidae.
CUAGCUGACCACAGAAGAAAAAACUUCACACUGCUGCUUGGACCCCUCCCCUACUCCUUCCUCCCCCUCCCUCCCGGAAAGCUUCUGUACUCAAUAAAUAUCCAUCCGAGCACACCGAGGCUCAGGCUCUAGGCUUGAGGAGGCAGACUCCUGGAGUUGACCUUGAGUGACGUCAACUGCUCCUCGGUCCUCCAGCUCUCCCUCCCCCUGCUGGGGCUGCUGACUGGGUUGCACCAUACUACCUGAGUCCAGACUCUAAUUUCAAACUCUUUUUGAGUCUCCACCGGUAAGCUCCUCCUAGCUUGGUAGGUAGAUCCCCUCGUGGCCCACGAGGCGCUUAUUGAGUCCCUGCCUCUGCCCCUGGUUCCUGAGGUCGCCCGGGAUUCCCAGAGGAGGGAACCUAUCAAGUGGGCAGUUUAUUGUCCCUAUUCUCUCCAGCAGCCCAUCCUCAUUCUUCAGUAUGGAUAAUUGACAUUUUCUCAGCCUUCAGUAAAUUGCUAUGCAAACACAGCUUCAAGCUCCUCUACUUUCCAAGCAGAUCACCAGCCCUUGACCCCUCCUAUCAAACUUUUGGAGCUGCCUCCCUAGUGACAGAGGGCUAGACUCCAUGGGCACCAGGACAUGAGGAGAGGAGAACAGGAAGGCUCUUUUCUUCAUCUCAAUCUUACUGGGCUAACACUUGUGACUUUCACUGCAGUUCACUCUGUAAUGUGUGUCUCUGGCUCUAGAAUUUCAAGUUCUACUUAGUGACUCCUAUCUGAACGUGGCUUCCCAGUGAAGCAAAGGAAGAGGUUUGAGCUUCAAAGCACAGUUGCAAGGUUCUUCUCUGAGCUGAACAAUGGCUGUAUCUGUGGACCAACAAAUCCAGGCUCCUCGAGUACAAGAAGAGCUUCGAAUAGUGAAGCUGGAAGAAGAUUCCCACUGGGAGCAGGAAAUUUCCCUUCAAGGGAGUAACCUCGGACCAGAGACCUCCUGCCAUCGCUUUUGGCAUUUCCGCUAUCAAGAGGCAUCUGGACCCCGGGAGGCCCUUAUCCAACUCCAGAUGCUCUGCCGUCAGUGGCUGAGACCAGAGAAGUGUACGAAAGAGCAGAUCUUGGAGUUGCUAGUUCUGGAACAGUUCCUGACUAUCCUUCCCCAGGAGGUCCAGGUCUGGGUUAGACAAAAGCAUCCGGAAAGUGGAGAGGAGGCAGUGGCCCUGGUGGAAGACUUGCAGAAAGAACCUGGAAGACGGGAGCUAUAGAUGAGAUACGGGAACCUACUUCUGAGUGGGUAAAAUAGAGGAAUGUGAGAGACAGAGCCACCUUGGGUUGCUGGCAGUGUGGGUAGCAAUGGUGAAGAACUCACAGCCAGAACCAGAAGAACAAUUGAGCCACAACCCCAGAGUAGAACUCUGAUCUUUCCACAAGAGUGCCCUGCCUGAUCCUCGGGCUCUGGGUCUUUCUGUGGAAGAGAGCAGUGGUGACCAGAGGACGAUGCACAGCUCCCAGGAGUUGGUGACAUUUGGUGAUAUGGCUGUGCAUGUCUCCCAGGAGGCACAGAGGCAGCCAGAACCUGGACAG